This 116-nucleotide ribosomal RNA is filed under the name Chloroflexota bacterium. The record is from RNAcentral. Lineage: Bacteria; Bacillati; Chloroflexota.
CUUGGUGAUUUAAGCGGCGAGGGUACACCUGGUCCCAUCUCGAACCCAGUAGUUAAGUUCGCCAGCGCCGAUGGUACUUGGGGGCGACCCCCUGGGAGAGUAGGUCAUUGCCAAGA